RNAcentral lists this ribosomal RNA (251 nucleotides) under uncultured bacterium. Its description in RNAcentral is "partial 16S ribosomal RNA". It matches the Rfam family "Bacterial small subunit ribosomal RNA", at positions 57 to 305 of the family's 1533-position model. The record is from RNAcentral.
GCAAGUCGGACGGUAUAUAUGUUUUCGGAUAUAUAGAGAGUGGCGAACGGGUGAGUAACUCGUACACAACCUACCCUUAAGAGGAGGAUAGCCCUGGGAAACUGGGAAUAAUACUCCAUAGUAAUAUCAGAUUGAAGGAUUAGAUAUUUAAAGGAUAGAAUUGCUUAAGGAUGGGUGUGCGUCUCAUUAGCUAGUUGGUAAGGUAACGGCUUACCAAGGCGACGAUGGGUAGGGGGCGUGAGAGCGUGAAC